Molecule: ribosomal RNA, 409 nt
Filed under: uncultured bacterium
Lineage: Bacteria
Description: bacterial SSU rRNA
Rfam family: Bacterial small subunit ribosomal RNA
Source: RNAcentral
AACGAACGCUGGCGGCGCGCCUAAUACAUGCAAGUCGAGCGAGAAGACGUAGCAAUACGUUUGUAAAGCGGCGAACGGGUGAGGAAUACAUGGGUAACCUACCCUCGAGUGGGGAAUAGCUAGCCGAAAGGUUAGCUAAUACCGCGUACGCUCCUUGGACUUCGGUUCAGGGAGGAAAGCGAUACCGUGGGUAUCGCGCUCUUGGAUGGGCUCAUGUCCUAUCAGCUUGUUGGGAGGUAACGGCUCACCAAGGCUUCGACGGGUAGCUGGUCUGAGAGGACGAUCAGCCACACUGGCACUGCGACACGGGCCAGACUCCUACGGGAGCAGCAGUAAGGAAUAUUGCGCAAAUGGGCAAAAGCCUGACGCAGCGACGCCGCGUGGGGGAUGAAGGUCUUCGGAUUGUAAA